Molecule: long non-coding RNA, 908 nt
Organism: Lynx canadensis (Canada lynx)
Lineage: Eukaryota; Metazoa; Chordata; Mammalia; Carnivora; Felidae
Exons: 3
Source: RefSeq, a predicted model, not a curated record
ACAGAGCCCAACGUGAGAUCAUGACCUGAGCCGAAGUCAGAUGCUUAACCGACUGAGCCACCCAGGCACCCCUCAUCUUCCUUGUUUUAAAUAUGGACACUGCCUCCCAGGCUUAAAUUUGCUGAGAUACAGUGUCCUGUCUGAAGUUUGACACUGCAGUUUUUAUUCAAAAGCCACCUGGACCCAUCAGACUCAAGCAGGAUGCCCAGUGGAAAGAAGGUUACAGUGUCCAGUCCAACAAAGGAAAGGUUUGGCAUUCAUGUGCUUUCUGUUCUGAAGAUGAGAAUCACUUCUGCUUGAUUUUCAUUCUUGGAAGAAAAAAAUAACGAGCUGUUGUCCUCGGAUUUGAUGACAUGAUGUGAAAGAGGAACGGAACAAAGAUUGGCUGUACCCACAGAGUUCGUCAGGGAUUGGGUCUCCAGGCAGAUUUCUUCUUCCCGGGUGAGUGUCCGGGGGCUUCACAGGCACCAGCAGGGAGGCACCCAGGACACAAGUGGGCAGACCCUAAUCUGGGGAAGGGCUACUCUUGCACCCCCUCUGUGCUUCAGCCUCCACCCCUACUUGCCACCCUCUAUAUCGAUGGUAUGUGCCUGAGGCUGCAAAACUGAUGGAAAUCAGUUUAGAGGGAAAUGAGGAAAAGCAGAGAAUUCGACCAAGAGGUGGCCUGUUGUCACGCAUCACUGUCUUAUGCUGCCUCCUGAGCUCCUGUCAUCUGUGGAGGAUGCGUACAUGAUGUUCUUCAUAGCACAAUUCUCCUUUGUUUUUCUUGAAAAUUUUUUGCAAGGUCAUGUUUUUCCAAACAAUUUUAUCAGGAGUAGAGUUUGAGGUCUGCUCUUUUUGAACCUACCGAAAAGUGGAAUGUUUUUCCCUGGCAAAUGAUUACUUCUUUGAAAAGCAGACAAGCUUCU